GUCGCCGUUCGUCCGAACAAAUUUUUUCUCAGUAUAUGUGUAUGGUUCACUGUGUCUCUCGAAACGCGGCGGCGGCGGCGGCGGCAGCGACGACGACGACACGAACGCGUCAAUUGUUCAUGGAACCGCAACGGUCAUUCUGCUUGGUUCUUCGAAUUGGGGAUUCUGUAGCUCGGCAGGUCGAACGGCGGAUCGGUGAGAAAAUGACCUGCAGGGAUGGCAGCUGGACGUCGGUCCUUUUCGAUCGGUUUUACGCCUCGACGUUUCGCCGUUCCUGGGCGGCGGUGUGAAUGACGAACUUCAACAAAAGAAUUAACUCCGCAUUGAUCUCUUGCCCGAUUAGCUCUCGAUGCCGAGCUCAUUAUCCGACGAAUUGUCACGAGCCAAAUAUACGUUUGGGAUAAAAUGUGA
Molecule: long non-coding RNA, 411 nt
Organism: Venturia canescens
Lineage: Eukaryota; Metazoa; Arthropoda; Insecta; Hymenoptera; Ichneumonidae
Exons: 2
Source: RefSeq, a predicted model, not a curated record